RNAcentral lists this long non-coding RNA (201 nucleotides) under Nicotiana benthamiana. RNAcentral describes it as "long non-coding RNA (NBEN_LNC003931)". Lineage: Eukaryota; Viridiplantae; Streptophyta; Magnoliopsida; Solanales; Solanaceae. The record is from RNAcentral.
GGGAGGGUAAUAGGUAGACGAGCCUUACCCCUACCCGAAAGGGCAGAGAGGCUGUUUCCAAUCGACCAUCGGCUCAGUGAAGGACACAAGAAACAAAAACAACAACAAAAAAGCAUUAGUAACUUCAGCAGAAAUAGCGUAAAUAAUUAUCUAAACAUAAAAACCAUAAAUAAAAUAGCAUGCAAUAAUAUCAGACAGUAA